GCUACACACGUGCUACAAUGGGAAGUACAACGAGUUGCGAAGUCGCGAGGCUAAGCUAAUCUCUUAAAGCUUCUCUCAGUUCGGAUUGCAGGCUGCAACUCGCCUGCAUGAAGCCGGAAUCGCUAGUAAUCGCGGAUCAGCACGCCGCGGUGAAUACGUUCCCGGGCCUUGUACACACCGCCCGUCACACCACGAGAGUUUGUAACACCCGAAGUCGGUGAGGUAACCUUUUGGAACCCGCCCCCUAAGGGGGGAAAAAAGAAUGGGGUGAAAUCCUAACAAGG
RNAcentral lists this ribosomal RNA (284 nucleotides) under Enterococcus faecium. RNAcentral's name for it is "partial 16S ribosomal RNA". It matches the Rfam family "Bacterial small subunit ribosomal RNA", at positions 1213 to 1496 of the family's 1533-position model. The record is from RNAcentral. Lineage: Bacteria; Bacillati; Bacillota; Bacilli; Lactobacillales; Enterococcaceae.